GAUGAACGCUGGCGGCGUGCCUAACACAUGCAAGUCGAACGGAGUCCAGCCUUUAAGACCUUCGGGUCAAAGGGGGGAAGCCUGAGUGGCGGACGGGUGAGUAACACGUGGGCAACCUGGCUCAUAGAGGGGGAUCACAGAUAGAAAUUUCUGCUAAUACCGCAUAAGCACACACUGCCGCAUGGCCGAGGGUGAAAAGAGAAUCGCUAUGAGAUGGACCCGCGUCUGAUUAGCCAGUUGGCAGGGUAAGAGCCUACCAAAGCGACGAUCAGUAGCCGAUCUGAGAGGAUGAACGGACACAUUGGGACUGAGAAACGGCACAAACUCCUACGGGAGGGAGCAGUGGGGGAUAUUGCACAAUGGCGGGAACCCUGAUGCAGCGACGCCGGGUGAGUGAAGAAGUAAUUCGGUAUGUAAAGCUCUAUCAGCAGGGAAGAUAAUGACAGUACCUGAACAAGAAGCCCCGGCUAACUACGUG
RNAcentral lists this ribosomal RNA (478 nucleotides) under uncultured bacterium. RNAcentral describes it as "partial 16S ribosomal RNA". It matches the Rfam family "Bacterial small subunit ribosomal RNA", at positions 28 to 507 of the family's 1533-position model. The record is from RNAcentral.